CCUACGGGAGGCAGCAGUGAGGAAUAUUGGUCAAUGGGCGAGAGUCUGAACCAGCCAAGUAGCGUGAAGGAUGACUGCCCUAUGGGUUGUAAACUUCUUUUAUAUGGGAAUAAAACGUUCCACGUGUGGGAUUUUUUAUGUACCAUAUGAAUAAGGCUCGGCUAACUCCGUGCCAGCAGCCGCGGUAAUACGGAGGAUCCGGGCGUUAUCCGGUUUUAUUGGGUUUAAAGGGGGCGUAGGUGGAUUGUUAAGUCAGUUGUGAAAGUUUGCGGCGCAACCGUAAAAUUGCAGUUGAAACUGGCAGUCUUGAGUAUAGUAGAGGUGGGCGGAAUUCGUGGUGUAGCGGUGAAAUGCGUAGAUAUCACGAAGAACUCCGAUUGCGAAGGCAGUUCACUGGACUGCAACUGACACUGAGGCGCGAAAGUGUGGGUAUCAAACAGGAUUAGAUACCCCAGUAGUC
Molecule: ribosomal RNA, 460 nt
Filed under: uncultured bacterium
Lineage: Bacteria
Description: partial 16S ribosomal RNA
Rfam family: Bacterial small subunit ribosomal RNA
Source: RNAcentral